RNAcentral lists this non-coding RNA (162 nucleotides) under uncultured Ruminococcus sp. Its description in RNAcentral is "Lysine riboswitch". It matches the Rfam family "Lysine riboswitch aptamer". From Rfam's summary of the family: Riboswitches are metabolite binding domains within certain messenger RNAs that serve as precision sensors for their corresponding targets. Allosteric rearrangement of mRNA structure is mediated by ligand binding, and this results in modulation of gene expression. This family includes riboswitches that sense lysine in a number of genes involved in lysine metabolism, including lysC. The record is from RNAcentral. Lineage: Bacteria; Bacillati; Bacillota; Clostridia; Eubacteriales; Oscillospiraceae.
AGACAGAGGUGCACUUCCGAUUAGUAUAGUCUGACAGGAUAACCAAUCCGCUUUAUGCAGGCAGGAAAGGCUGGAGUGCCGAAGAUACAGCUUUGGUCGGGCUGUGUCUGGUCAGAUUUCCAAACAGGGCUCUGACUGUCAUCGUUAUGAUGGAGUGCUGUC